Molecule: ribosomal RNA, 301 nt
Filed under: uncultured bacterium
Lineage: Bacteria
Description: partial 16S ribosomal RNA
Rfam family: Bacterial small subunit ribosomal RNA
Source: RNAcentral
CAGCCGCCGCGGGAAUACGAAGGGGGCUAGCGUUGUUCGGAUUUACUGGGCGUAAAGCGCACGUAGGCGGAUCGAUCAGUCAGGGGUGAAAUCCCAGAGCUCAACUCUGGAACUGCCUUUGAUACUGUCGAUCUGGAGUAUGGAAGAGGUGAGUGGAAUUCCGAGUGUAGAGGUGAAAUUCGUAGAUAUUCGGAGGAACACCAGUGGCGAAGGCGGCUCACUGGUCCAUUACUGACGCUGAGGCACGAAAGCGUGGGGAGCAAACAGGAUUAGAUACCCCCGUAGUCCCUGUCUCUUAUAC